RNAcentral lists this transfer RNA (71 nucleotides) under Treponema sp. RNAcentral describes it as "tRNA-Gly". It matches the Rfam family "tRNA". Rfam says of the family: Transfer RNA (tRNA) molecules are approximately 80 nucleotides in length. Their secondary structure includes four short double-helical elements and three loops (D, anti-codon, and T loops). Further hydrogen bonds mediate the characteristic L-shaped molecular structure. tRNAs have two regions of fundamental functional importance: the anti-codon, which is responsible for specific mRNA codon recognition, and the 3' end, to which the tRNAs corresponding amino acid is attached (by aminoacyl-tRNA synthetases). tRNAs cope with the degeneracy of the genetic code in two manners: having more than one tRNA (with a specific anti-codon) for a particular amino acid; and 'wobble' base-pairing, i.e. permitting non-standard base-pairing at the 3rd anti-codon position. Lineage: Bacteria; Pseudomonadati; Spirochaetota; Spirochaetia; Treponematales; Treponemataceae. RNAcentral also lists the same sequence under 1 other name. The record is from RNAcentral.
GCGGUUGUAGUACAUCGGUAGUACCCGGGCUUCCCAAGCCUGUGAGGCGGGUCCGACUCCCGUCAACCGCU